Long non-coding RNA from Anguilla anguilla (European eel), 205 nucleotides. RefSeq lists it as uncharacterized. NCBI's taxonomy places the organism in Eukaryota, Metazoa, Chordata, Actinopteri, Anguilliformes, Anguillidae. The transcript has 2 exons. The record is from RefSeq and is a predicted model, not a curated record.
CUUUACGGUGUUUAAACGGACUGCUGUCCCCAUACUGCACAUUGUCACUGCACCCCGUCUGGAGGAAAAGGCCCACGCAGCCACCCAGCAACCACAGCAAAUCUUGCACACGCUGCCAUCGGCACUCAUGGCAGCUAACUGAGAAGAAGCAACGAUGUUCAAGUCACAGUGUAUAGAGGUUUCAAAUGAUAUGUGGGCAAAGUUA